Molecule: small RNA, 482 nt
Filed under: Pongo abelii (Sumatran orangutan)
Lineage: Eukaryota; Metazoa; Chordata; Mammalia; Primates; Hominidae
Description: processed transcript
Source: RNAcentral
AGAAGGAGGAAUAUUUGGUCCCUGGUCAGUUUCUGCUUUGGGAACAGAUUGACCCCAAACAUCUGACAUAACCUAUGUAAGUGACAGUGUUGGCUUAGAAUAAAGAAACAAAGACUAUCAUGGCAUUUUUUUUUAUAAAGCAAGUGUUACAGUGACCUGUUUUGGGGACUGCCAGAGGUUAGUUGGCAGUUGCCUUCUAGAUCUAGCCACAGGAGAAAAAAUUAAAGAGCCAUAUGACUGUGAGGCAGAUCCUCAUCAGGGAGGAGGCGCAGUGUCUUUUUAACCACUUUGAAGACCAACAGCCAAGACAUCUUGAGCUAGUUGUAGUGGACAGAGAGUUCCAAACACCUCAGCCACCAGGAAAAGGGAGUGGCCAGGAAGAGGCUGCAGGCUCAAGGGCAGCGAUUCUCCCACCCACUCAAGGAACCUACUGAGCAUCGAACCACUCCAACUUGCCUUGGGAGGAGGACUUGAAUGCUACC